Molecule: RNA transcript, 3437 nt
Organism: Rhinopithecus roxellana (golden snub-nosed monkey)
Lineage: Eukaryota; Metazoa; Chordata; Mammalia; Primates; Cercopithecidae
Gene: NUDT5
Gene name: nudix hydrolase 5
Exons: 11
Source: RefSeq, a predicted model, not a curated record
AAAGCAAGAAGGAACACCGAGAAAGGGAAGCGGAGAAGGAGAAUCCCAGGGCAUACGCUUGACACACACGCACACAAAAGGAGCUUUAGUCUCGAAAGAGGAAUUACUGAAUUGUUGAGAGAGGAAUUUUAAGAAGUUUACAACUCCGUCUUUGCCCUAGACACACGCUGACCCGGAAAGUAAUCUCCUGAAGCUAGGUCAAAGGCGGGGGUUCUACGGAUGCCGGGAGGAGGGCGCGCGCCCAUCCUGGUAGCACCGCGAGAGGCGCCGGUGUCUCGAACCGUGGCACCGGCAUCGGCUGACACUGCUGUCUCCAGCUAGUUAUUUCGUCCUCUUCCGUUCUUCACCCCUACAUCUUGGAGGUGAACUUCUCACCUGAGGGCUAUAAAGACUGGUUUGAAAAUGGAGAGCCAAGAACCAAUGCAGUCUUCUCAGAAUGGCAAACAAUAUAUUAUUUCAGAGGAGUUAAUUUCAGAAGGAAAAUGGGUCAAGCUUGAAAAAACAACGUACAUGGAUCCUACUGGUAAAACUAGAACUUGGGAAUCAGUGAAACGUACAACCAGGAAAGAACAGACUGCGGAUGGUGUCGCUGUCAUCCCCGUGCUGCAGAGAACGCUUCACUAUGAGUGUAUCAUUCUGGUGAAACAGUUCCGACCACCAAUGGGGGGCUACUGCAUAGAGUUCCCUGCAGGUCUCAUAGAUGACGGUGAAACCCCAGAAGCAGCUGCUCUCCGGGAGCUUGAGGAAGAAACUGGCUACAAAGGGGACAUUGCCGAAUGUUCUCCAGCCGUCUGUUUGGACCCAGGCUUGUCAAACUGUACCUUACACAUCGUGACAGUCACCAUUAACGGAGAUGAUGCCGAAAACGCCAGGCCGAAGCCAAAGCCAGGGGAUGGAGAAUUUGUGGAAGUCAUUUCUUUACCCAAGAAUGACCUGCUGCAGAGACUCCAUGCUCUGGUAGCUGAAGAACAUCUUACAGUGGACGCCAGGGUCUAUUCCUACGCUCUAGCGCUGAAACAUGCCAAUGCGAAGCCAUUUGAAGUGCCCUUCUUGAAAUUUUAAGGCCAAAUAUGACACGGGCCAUUUUUGUAAGCAAGACCACCAGGCCUUCUUCACUAAGACUUUGUAUUCAACUUAGUUCCAUGUAGAUUUGCCAUUAGCUUUUUCCUAAAAUAAAAGCACAGAACAGAUGUGGUGGUGGUAUGGAAUUGCAAUUACAGGUAGGUUGUGACCCUCAUUUAAAUAACUCCAGCUAAAAUUAACAAAAAAGAAAAUAAAUGCAAGUACGUUUACUCCAGUUUUUUAAAGCUCAACAGCAGUUAACUACAGCUCAAUUACUUUUCUAGUCUAGUCUGGUAGACAGGGAUAUUUGUACAGGAAAACAGACCUGAGUUCCCAAUUAGGUCAACUAUUUCCACUCUCAACCCCCACUGUAAAAUUCUAGAGCUGGGCAUGCAAAUAACCGUGUACUCCAUUGGUGUUUAAAACAGCGUUAAAAUGAAAAAAAGACUCUUCAGUCUCUUCUAAUUGAAUUUUUACUAUGCAAAAUUCAUCUAGGGUAGUUGAAUCCAACUAGGGUAGGAUUCAGUAGAAUCCGCAACUAGUUUAAGUCCACCUAUUUACUGAAGCUGAACCAGCUAAUUUUAAGUAAGGAAAAUGGUUGAUUCCAUUCACUGCACCGAGGCUAGGAGACUAAUGAAAAUUCAGGGCCAUCCCUCAAGCAUCUGCACAUACUUGAGGAUCUCUUUUUCCUAUCCUUACCUCAAAGAGUACUUGAAGUUUCUGAAAACAAAUCCAUAAGACUGAUAUGGUUUGGGGCAGUAAUAUCUUGAUGUUAAACCAUGAAUAGAACCAGCAAGAUCAGCCAGUAUGUGAAACCCAAUACAGAGUACUUCAGAGCAAGAAGUACAGAUUGAUGUGGUUCCCAUUUCAUUCCAGCCUGAAACCCUGUCAUCCAGCAGUUCUACCAGUGUUCCUGGGCCAUUUUCUUAGCCUCUUGAGUGAGUUUAGCUCUUUUUGUGUUGACUUUUAGGGCCUCCAGCAGCUCCAUGAUUUUCCAGGACUUUCCAGUCUGGCCCCCACAGAAGUCUCAGGAUGAUUCCCAUCCAGCCCUAAGUCAUGUUUCUAGCCUGGCUCCAGCGGGUAAGCCAGGCCCUAAGAACCAUAUGAAAGGGCUCUCCAGAUAAAAUCAGGGUGCUAAUGCCAGAAUGCUACAGUAUAUCCAUGUGUCCACAGGCUCACUGUCUGAGCCCAGGAUAUUUUUCUGAGUGAAACUGUUAAGAUCUUUACACUGGACUUCCUAAAGAUAAAACAAUUACGGAAAUACAGAACUUUAUAGAUGAAGCUGUCUAGCCCUAUACAUGUGAAAAUCAAGAUCCAACUACUUCCUAUAAUGGUAGCCUUCCCAUAUGCCUCUAACCCUUUUUUAAAUCCCGAUUUCAGUCACAGGCAUUGUGAUUCUUCAAAGCUCUAACUCUUCCUUAGCUCUCAAAGCCACAGGCUAUCAUUGAAAUGGAGAGAGAAGGCAUCUAUCUGUAGGUGGGCGCAGCCCAGUCUUUCCACAUAGCCCAGUUCCUCCCCAGCCACUCCCCAUGGGCAUGACCUCUGCAGCUCACCCUUAUCCGCUCCCUUCUUCCUAAGAGUGCAACUUAGAAGUGAGAGCCAAAUCCUAGGAUGUAUCCCUAAAUGCCAUUUCUAUUUUUUAUAAACAUGAAAACGUUGUGCUUUGGAAAAGGUUGUGCUUUGGAAAUUAAGUCUGUUUGAGAACUGGCAGUCUGGCUGGCACUGUUUUAAAAUGUUUAUUUGCCCUGCAUUUAAAAACUGAAGGUUUCCUAUGUAUUAAAAGCCAUAUUUCCACCUUCUUAAGGAAAAAAAAAUCGGACAUCAUAACACUGGGUCGAUGUUUUUAUGGUAACUGAGGCCCUCAGCGGAUGCUCUCCGAGCCAUUGUUAACAUCCCGCCUGCCUUUAUCUGCCUUGCCCCUGCGAUUAUUUGGCUUUGUAAGCAUAAGCUACAUAAGACAUACUACACUUAAGAAACUAAACAGCAAUGAAAACCCAUACUUCUGAAAAGGGUGUCUUUUAAAAAUUAAGUUUGAUCUUUUGGGAAAUAAAGCACAUAGUUUUCAAAAUGAUUUACCAAGAACUACGCUUUUAAAUGGAGACUGGGUUAUUGUUUUGAGAUCACUGUUUUCCUGUUUCCUCCCAAAUGUUAGUCACAUAUAUGAUUACCCGUAAGUUGGUCACUGUCCGUCAAUAAUUUAGGAUUAAAGUUUGAAGUGUAAUUACAUUUGACUUUUAUAGGCAUCUCAGGGUGGACUUCUUAUAAAUACACUGAACUUAUACAAAUGAUCUUAGAAGAUGUUUAAUAUCAGAUUUAUUUUUUUUCCAACACAACUGAAUCAGUUUUCUUAAAUAAAAUUUAUUGUCUACUGUUUA